GACGAACGCUGGCGGCGUGCUUAACACAUGCAAGUCGAACGGUGAAGGGGCCUGCUUUUGUGGGUCCUGGAUGAGUGGCGAACGGGUGAGUAACACGUGAGUAACCUGCCCCCUUCUUCUGGAUAACCGCAUGAAAGUGUGGCUAAUACGGGAUAUUCUGGGUCUGUCGCAUGGUGGGCCUGGGAAAGAUUGCGCCUUUUUUGGUGUUUUUGGUGGGGGAUGGGCUCGCGGCCUAUCAGCUUGUUGGUGGGGUGAUGGCCUACCAAGGCGGUGACGGGUAGCCGGCCUGAGAGGGUGGACGGCCACACUGGGACUGAGACACGGCCCAGACUCCUACGGGAGGCAGCAGUGGGGAAUAUUGCACAAUGGGCGCAAGCCUGAUGCAGCGACGCCGCGUGAGGGAUGGAGGCCUUCGGGUUGUGAACCUCUUUCGCCAGUGAAGCAGGCCUGCCUCGUUUGUGG
Molecule: ribosomal RNA, 462 nt
Filed under: Actinomyces naeslundii
Lineage: Bacteria; Bacillati; Actinomycetota; Actinomycetes; Actinomycetales; Actinomycetaceae
Description: bacterial SSU rRNA
Rfam family: Bacterial small subunit ribosomal RNA
Source: RNAcentral